UUACCCAAUCCGACACGGGGAGGUAGUGACAAUAAAUACUGAUACAGGGCUCUUUUUGGGUCUCUGUAAUUGGAAUGAGUACCAUUUAAAUCCCUUAACGAGGAACAAUUGGAGGGCAAAGUCUGGUGCCAGCAGCCGCGGUAAUUCCAGCUCCAAUAGCGUAUAUUAAAGUUGUCUGCAGUUAAAAAGCUCGUAGUCGAACCU
RNAcentral lists this ribosomal RNA (204 nucleotides) under uncultured fungus. Its description in RNAcentral is "partial 18S small subunit ribosomal RNA". It matches the Rfam family "Eukaryotic small subunit ribosomal RNA", at positions 441 to 641 of the family's 1831-position model. Lineage: Eukaryota; Fungi. The record is from RNAcentral.